UACGUAGGGUGCAAGCGUUGUCCGGAUUUAUUGGGCGUAAAGAGCUCGUAGGCGGUCUGUCGCGUCGGAUGUGAAAACCCAGGGCUCAACCCUGGGCCUGCAUUCGAUACGGGCAGACUAGAGUGUGGCAGGGGAGACUGGAAUUCCUGGUGUAGCGGGUGAAAUGCGCAGAUAUCAGGAGGAACACCGGUGGCGAAGGCGGGUCUCUGGGCCAAUACUGACGCUGAGGAGCGAAAGCGUGGGGAGCGAACAGG
RNAcentral lists this ribosomal RNA (254 nucleotides) under uncultured bacterium. Its description in RNAcentral is "partial 16S ribosomal RNA". It matches the Rfam family "Bacterial small subunit ribosomal RNA", at positions 524 to 776 of the family's 1533-position model. The record is from RNAcentral.